RNAcentral lists this ribosomal RNA (733 nucleotides) under uncultured bacterium. Its description in RNAcentral is "bacterial SSU rRNA". It matches the Rfam family "Bacterial small subunit ribosomal RNA", at positions 94 to 823 of the family's 1533-position model. The record is from RNAcentral.
AGCGGCGGACGGGUGAGUAAUGCCUAGGAAUCUGCCUGGUAGUGGGGGAUAACGUUCGGGAACGGACGCUAAUACCGCAUACGUCCUACGGGAGAAAGCAGGGGACCUUCGGGCCUUGCGCUAUCAGAUGAGCCUAGGUCGGAUUAGCUAGUUGGUGGGGUAAUGGCUCACCAAGGCGACGAUCCGUAACUGGUCUGAGAGGAUGAUCAGUCACACUGGAACUGAGACACGGUCCAGACUCCUACGGGAGGCAGCGGUGGGGAAUAUUGGACAAUGGGCGAAAGCCUGAUCCAGCCAUGCCGCGUGUGUGAAGAAGGUCUUCGGAUUGUAAAGCACUUUAAGUUGGGAGGAAGGGCAGUAAAUUAAUACUUUGCUGUUUUGACGUUACCGACAGAAUAAGCACCGGCUAACUCUGUGCCAGCAGCCGCGGUAAUACAGAGGGUGCAAGCGUUAAUCGGAAUUACUGGGCGUAAAGCGCGCGUAGGUGGUUCGUUAAGUUGGAUGUGAAAUCCCCGGGCUCAACCUGGGAACUGCAUUCAAAACUGACGAGCUAGAGUAUGGUAGAGGGUGGUGGAAUUUCCUGUGUAGCGGUGAAAUGCGUAGAUAUAGGAAGGAACACCAGUGGCGAAGGCGACCACCUGGACUGAUACUGACACUGAGGUGCGAAAGCGUGGGGAGCAAACAGGAUUAGUUACCCUGGUAGUCCACGCCGUAAACGAUGUCAACUAGCCGU